CGGGAACUCUCCGGGCAGCUGCCGCGCGUGCACACUGCCACCUCGGGGCGGGCGGCGGAGCAUGGAGCCGGUCCAGCCUUGCUGUGUGCGCCAGGGAGGGAGGAGGGCUAGCAGCCCGUGUCUCCCGCCGGGCUCUCCUCCUCCUGGCCACCUUUCUGUUGUCUCUCCUCUUUGCACGCUCGGGAGGGACCGCAUAUGGCGCCCAGCCUCUCUGCCAGUGUCCUGAUCUCCCCUCCUGUGAGUGCCGCUGCUCUUUCCAGACUGCGCCAAGCCCCCUUCGCCCUCGCUCACCCCCGCCGGCUGUCCCGCCCCGGCGCACCUGAGUCUUCAGACACCGUCUGUGCCCUGGCCACAGCUCGUGUUCAUCUCCAGAACGGAUGACUCUCCAAGCGCCAGCCCCGGUCUGGGCUGAAAAUCGGACCUCAUCAUCCCCUCCCAAAACCCUCGGACGUGCCUUUUCUACGGAGGCUGACCAGGCCUGGUCGCGGUGCCCGCAUCUCUGACCACAGCCGCCCGCACGCCCGGGACCAGCCUGUCACCUCUCAGGGGCGGCCAGGCUGCCCCUCGGCACCAGGGACAGAAGCACCGGAGGUGAUCAGGGUCUGAGCCGUCCAUGAGAAGGACUGCAUUUCCCAGCCCCCCUUGUGGCCAUGCAGCCCUGAGCCCUGGCCAAUGAGAGGCGAGCAAAAGCGAGGGGCGCUUCUUCCAGCUUGUGCCCUAAGGGAAAGAAGGACGUUCAGCAUUUGACGAAAUUCAACAUCCUUUCUUGAUAAAAACUCUCAACAAGUUAGGUGAAAUGAUGCUGGCUCGGCGAGCCUAGGAGUCGAAAGAAGGAUUUCUUUGCCUCUCAUGGUCUGGCAGUGGUGCUCUUUUAUUCAGAGACUAGCAUGGAGUAGCAUGGGGACGGGACCCGUGGGCAGUAAGAGCUGCAGGCAUGGGGACGGGACCCGUGGGCAGUAAGAGCUGCAGGCGUGGAGACGGGACCCGUGGGCAGUAAGAGCUGCAGGCAUGGGGACGGGACCCGUGGGCAGUGAAGAGCUGCAGCCUUGGGGACGCGACCCGUGGGCAGUAAGAGCUGCAGCCUUGGGGACGGGACCCGUGGGCAGUAAGAGCUGCAGGCAUGGGGACGGGACCCGUGGGCAGUAAGAGCUGCAGCCUUGGGGACGCGACCCGUGGGCAGUAAGAGCUGCAGGCAUGGGGACGGGACCCGUGGGCAUUCAAGAGCUGCAGGCAUGGGGACGGGACCCGUGGGCAGUGAAGAGCGGCAAUGUGUUGAGGGUUAGACCUAAAUUUAUACGGCAUGGGUGUGUGAGUUAUUUCUUUACAAGACAAAGGAAAGAUGAUGUAAGAGGUAAUUAAAUGGUAUCAGUGCAGGUGGGGUCUGGUUAUUGUGUGGUCAUAUAACUUUAGAUAUGAGUCAGGUCAUAUAGAUCGGCAUGUAGGCCAGGACACCUUGGGCUUCUCCCCCUGGCGCAGCCUUGAUCCACAUCAAUAGGACCGUUCUCAGCAUAAUAAACGCCAUAUAGGACAAGCCCACAGCUAACAUCAUAUUCAAUGGUGAAAAGGUGAAAGCUUUUCUUCUAAGAUCAGGAACAAGACAAGGAUGCCCACUCUCGCCAUUUCUAUUCAACACGGUGCUAGAAGUCCUAGCCAGAGCAUUAGGCAAGAAAAAGAAGGAAAAGGCAUCCAAAUCAGAAAAGAAGAAGUAAAAUUUUCUCUAUUUGCAGAGGACAUGAUAUAGAAAACCCUAAAGACUCUGCCGAAAAAACUGCUGGGACUAAUAAAUGAAUUCAGUAAAGUGGCAGGACACAAAAUCAACACACAGCAAUCAGGUGCAUUUCUACACACUAACAAUGAACUGUCUGCAAGAGCGAUCCAGUGGGCGCCCCAUCCAACAACAGCAGGACACACAUCCUUCUCAAGUGCCUAAAAACAUUCUCCAGGAUAGAUCAUAGUUAGGCAAUCAAGUAAGUCUUAAGAAGUUUAAAAGAACUGAAAUCAUACAAAGUAUGUUCUCUGACCACAAUGGAAUGAAAUUAGAAAUCAUUAACAGAAGGAAAUCUGAGGAAUUCACAACUAUGUGGACAUUAAGUAGCAUACUCCUAAAUAACCAAGACGUCAAAGAAGAAAUCACAGGGGAAAUCAGAAAAUAUUUUGAGAUGAAUGAAAACAAAAACACGGCAUACCAAAACUUAUGCAACCAACACAGUGCUUAGAUAGAAAUGUGAAUGUGUAAACAGCUACAUUGGGAAAGAAAGAUCUCAACUCAAUAACCUAACCUUACAUCUUAAGCUACCAGAAGACGAAGAGCAAACUAAACCAAACACAAUCAAAAGGAAGGAAAUAGUAAAGAUUAAUGCCAAAAUAAAUGAAAUAUAGAGAGGAAAUUUUUAAAAAGUCAAUUCUGUGAAACAAUCAACAAAAUUGACAAAUCUUUAGAUAGACCAGCCCCCCCCCAAAAGACUCAAAUUAUUAAAAUCAUGAAUAAAAGAAGGGCCACUAUUAUGAACUUUUCAGAAAUAAAAAUGAUUAUAACACGAAAAAAAGAAGGCAAUCUCAUGUACAGUAGCAUCAAAAAACAAUAAAAUAUUUAGGAGUAAAUUUAACCAAGGAGGUGAAAGACCUGUACACUGAAAACUAUAAGUCAUUGAUGAAAGAGAGUGAAGAAGACACAAAUAAAUGGAAUGAUAUCCGAUCUUCUCAGGUGGUAAGAAUUAAUAUAGUGAGAAUGUCCACACUACUCAAAGAAACCUACAGAUUCAAUGCAAUCGCUAUCAAAAUUCCAAUGGGAUUUUUCACAGACAAAGAAAAAACUAUCCUAAAAUUUGCAUGGAACCACAAAAGACCCUGAAUAGCCAAAGCAAUUCUACGACAGAAGAAUAAAGCUGGGGGCAUCACACUUCCUGAUUUCAAGCUAUGUUGCAAAGCUGUAGUAAUCAAAAUUGUAUGUUAUUGGCAUAAAAAUAGGCACAUAGGUCAGUGGAAGAGAAUAGAGAGCAAAUGAUAUGAUUGUCUAUGUGGGUUUUUUAAAAUAGAUAUUCUUUAUCAAGUUGAGGAGGUUCUCCUCCAUUCCUGUUUACUGAGAGACUUUAUCAUGAAUGGAUUUUGGAUUCUCUCAAAUGCUAUUUCUGCAUCUGUUGACAUUGUUGACCUUAAACAAAUGGCCAGUUAUCUCUCCAGCAAAAAUGGGCUUAUUUAGGAUCAACAAAGAAUUGCAAUUUGAGAUCUGCAACCAUGGUGAGCUGCAUGCAAAGUCCGAGGGACAAGGGGAGGAGAAACUCUUUUACAGAGUGGGAGAGGAAAUUGGGAGGGCCAUUGUAAAGAAAGAGUCCAUUGGAGGAAUUGAGAGUUCGAAGGACUGUGGCUUGUCAUGGGCUGAGUUCUGACAGUCUCUCAUUGGCUGAGCUCUUGCCUGGCAAGAGGGGAGUCUUUCUUCGUCCUGUUUGGCUCUGCCAUCAUCAUAGGCCAUGACAGCUCCCCUUCUGGCCUCCCAACUCCAUUUUAAAUGAGGUGUCUGAUGAUUAAUUUUCACAAUAUGAUCAUGUGAUUUUUUCUCUUUACCCUGUUGAUGUGAUGGAUUACAUCAAUUGAUUUUUUAAUGUUCCACCAGCCUUACAUACCUGGGGUAAACCCCAGGCUGUGAUGUGUAAUUAUUUUUAUACAUUGUUGGAUUUGAUUUGCUAAUAUUUUGUAGAGGAUUUUUGCAUUUUUGCACCUAUGUUCACAAGAGAUAUUGGUCUGUAGUUUUCUUUUCUUGUAAGGUCUUUGGUUUUGGUGUUAGGAUAACGCUGGCCUUGUAGAAUGAGCUAGGAAGUGUUAACUUUGCUUCUCUCUUCUGAAAGAGAUUGUGGAGAACAGGUAUAAUUUCUCCCUUAAAUGUUGGGUAGAAUUCACCAGUGCACCCAGCUGGGCUUUGUGCUUUCCGUUCUAGAAGGUUAUUAAUUAUUGAUUGAGUUUCUCUAGUAGAUAUAGGCCUGUCCAAAUUGUCUCUUUCCUCUUGUGUGAGUUUUGGCAGAUUAGGUCUUUCAUGGAAAUGGCCGGUUUCAUCUAGGUUAUCAAAUUUGUAGGUCUAGGGUUGUUCAUAGUAGUCCCUUAUUAUCCUUUUAGUGUCCACGGGAUCUGCAGUGGCGUCCCCUCUUUCAUUCCUAAAGUUAGUAAUCUGUGUCCUCUCUCUUUUUUUCUUAGUUAAUCUGGCUAGAGGCUUAUCAGUUUUAUCUUUUCAAAGAAUCAACUUUUGGUUUAGUUGAUUUUCCCUAUUCAUUUAUCAUUUUCAAUUUCCUUGAGGUCUGGUC
Equus caballus (horse) is the source of this 4292-nucleotide long non-coding RNA. The record is from Ensembl. Lineage: Eukaryota; Metazoa; Chordata; Mammalia; Perissodactyla; Equidae.